Xyrichtys novacula (pearly razorfish) is the source of this 10031-nucleotide non-coding RNA. The record is from the annotation of a GenBank genome assembly. Lineage: Eukaryota; Metazoa; Chordata; Actinopteri; Labriformes; Labridae.
UUUUUUAUUUGAAAUGGGUUUUAGAGGGAACAGAGAGGCUAUUUGAAUUAUAUGAGCUUUUAUUUCAUAAACUCAACACUCUUCCCCUCCUCCCUUCUGCUUUCCAAACAGCAGUGAAGGCAGACAGCAUUUUAAUAGCCCUUAAUAAAACUCUUGUUUAAGUUAAUGUAUCAUUAAAUUGAAAUAGAACGGUUUAUACAGUGUCAUUUUCUCUGCUGUGCUCAAGGAGCCUGCUGCUAUCAGAUCCGGUCUCUCCCUCACUCUGUGUAGGUAUGUGCGUGUGUGUGUGUGUGUGUGUGUGUGUGUGUGUGUGUGUGUGUGUGUGUGUGUGUGUGUGUGUGUUGAGGGUUUAUUGACACUUAGCCUGAGAAGAGUAAUUGGAGCACUGAAGAGAAAUGAGAGCGAGGAGACAGAGAGAUAGAGGAAAAAGAGAUGAGAUAGAGGCUCUAAUCUAUGGGGUGUCAGUUCAAUUCCAGAUGAAAUCCACCACGGCUCUGAUGAGGAAAGGCCUGGAGGUGCACAUCUAAUAGGAGGGAUUGGGAGAGAGAUGGCUCCAAUCUACAGGUCAAUCCUUUUUAGAGUUCUCCACCGCUGAAAGAACAGAGGGAUCCUUAGAGCUGCUGCAAACACAAGAAAACCUGUCCGCUCAAAGCUGAACCAUCAUGAAUCACUAACUGUAUGAUAGACGAGCUUCAGCCUGUUAGUUUUAUAUGUGAAGCCAAUGUGUCAGUGUCUAAAACUGGCAUUAUUUAAAAGAGCUGCAGGGGUGGAUCCGAAGUCUGUUGUUUAAUAAAACAUCUAGUUCCUACACAUAGGUCAUCCUUUCGCUUUCAUUUAAAACAUGACCAAAACAUGGACCCUGCAGACAAAACCUUCAAAGAAAAAACAUUUAAAUUGGUUGAGUACGUUGCUCCAUUUUUGGCUUGUAGAAACAGACAGACACCACAAUGAAAGUUAAAAAAGGCAACACUUUGGGCUCUAUUUUCAUGCCUCGCCAGUGGCGUGGCCUAAGCACAGCAUAUGUCAGGUCUGCCACGCCAACGAGGCAUGCCCAAGCAGAUUUUGGUAUUUUGCUCAGCAGGCAGCCCGGCGUAAGUAUCCCCCCUCCCAGUGGCGUAAGUAGAAAAGAGGAAGGGGAGCAGGCGUGGAUGGGGCUUAACACAGCCGAGUCCAAUUAGCGCCAAUCCUAUCAGCUCCAUUCCUCCCCUUUAAAUCCGCUGCUGGCGAGGCAUAUUGCUAUUUUUGUGGAGUACUCAAAAAAAAAAAAAGGCUGAAGACAGCAGUGUGAGACAACGGAAAUUCUGCCAGGAGGAGAUUCAUGUUCUGGUUCGGGAGGUCCAGGCUCAUAGUGGCCAGCCAACCUUGGUGCGCCUCAGUCUACCAAAAUACCAAACUGGCUGUGUGCCGGGCUACUGCGCGGGAUGCGCCACCACGGGUAUGAAAACAGGGCCCAUUGAGCAGCACGCAAGGAGGCUCUAGACAAACUUUAUAAACAUUUUAGGUCAACAGAUUAUGGGUACAGGACAAGCCAGCCUUCUGCCUUCCAGCAUAAAAAUUAACUAACAGCAAGCCAGAAAGAAUCCUACCCGCCCACUACCAACUCACAUAUCUUCAUCAGAAGCCCUAUCAACUCCUGAGCCAUGGCCCCCGUUGGCUACUCCCAGGAGAGGUACCCCCCUGCCAGCUCUCUGAGAUCCUACCGUUCAUGCAGAAGAGGAGCCACAUGACAGGCUAAAUGCUGCCUUUAUUCAUGAAAGGAUGCAGACAGCCUGAAGCAAAAAGCCUGAGUGAAGAGAAAUUGUUCAAAACCAGUUCCAAUGAUACCUGUAAUCCGGAAGUGGAAGUUUAGGCUUUGAUGAUCUAACUCAUAGAAAAUCUUCCACAGGGGGACUACAGAAGGGGGGGUCAGAGGAGGGGCUGAAACACUGAUAUGAAAAUUAAAGAAGAAGAAAAACACAGAAAAUGGUGAAGGUCACAGAGGCCAACCUGAAGUAAUUUAAGGUCCCCAUGGAGUGCAGAAAAGAUGUGUGACUAACCACUCAGCCAAACUGAAAUGAUAAAAGAAAUUAUCAUUUCAAAUGACCUUUUACUAAACUUGCAAAGCACAACAGUGCAUCAGGAAGCUUCCCCUUGAAUCUGUCCAAAAACUCAUGAGCAAGAAAAUCUCUUUUAUUUAUUGAGGUUAAAAUUCUUCUGGGUUCACAGACUUUUCAUGUUUUCGACAACUGCUAAGUUUUUAAGGGCACAAAUCAGUGGCUCCCUAACUUCUUAGAUUAAGUCUGUCAGAAACACUUAGUUUCCCAAAGUUACCAAACCUACUGUGCCUGAUUUGAUUUGAAGCUGAUAACCGAGAUGUUCAGGCAUCAUUUCAAACCAUGUCUUUGUCAGCAGUGUGAGGUCACAGCAAGGGGAGACAUGAGGAUGGAUGAGGACAGAGAGCAUGUCCAGGGUCAGCAGUCUGCUGUGUCUUUAAAGCAGUAAUGCUGUUAUCUCAGGGAGAGUACCUGUCACUAAUCUGAUUGUGGUCCUUUCAUUCUCCCUGUGGCAGAUUGAUGCUGAAUAAUCAAAGCUAGUGGUGCCCAGACAAAGCACAGGGCCACAGGGAUUAGUUCCCGUCUAGAAGACAUUGAUUUGGUUUUCGUGCCCACAAAUAUUGAUGGAGUGCAGGGUGGAGGGACCAAAAUACACGGCCCAUGAUCAUAGCUCUAUUUUACGCUCUCAAGUUUUGUGUUGCUCUGAAACACAGGAAGAGGAAAAAAACACCAAAGCUGAAUUUUAAAAUGUGUGUUUUACAAUUUCACUCAGACAUGCAAACUUAACAGUUAGGAGUAUUCUCAGUACUUCACUGGAUAAACUCAACAUUAAACUCCCCCUGUAUGCAGGCCUGCCUGUAGCACGCAAAUCUCUGAAAGUAGUAUGGGAGGUGUUGCUAUUUUUCCAGUCUUAUAACUAAGAUCUACCUCUGCUUUUUUCCUGUUUUCUGCAUAUGCAAAUAACUUUUUCCUUCAGAAUUUGGUCUAACAUCUCUGAAAAAACCUCGGGUUUGAUUGUCCGUGACCUUAAAUCCCUGAAUCCCUUUCUUGCCUUCCUGUUCUUCCCCAGAGUCACGUCAGCACAGCUAUCACAUGAAACAUCAAGUGAAGUCUGGUAAUGACAUGCCUUGAAGACAGGGUGGUUAAACCUGCAGAGAAAUUUCUCAUUUCCGUGGACUUAGCCUCCUUUACCCUUCGACGUGGGUUUAAUGUUCUUACAGUUCAAGUCUGGGCCUCAGUUACAGUCCGCCCUGUACUGUGAGCUGUCAGUCCAUCUCCUGUGGUGUCCUCGCUCAACAUCAGCAGUGGGCUGAUUGAGUUGCAGCUGUAAUGGCAGAUGCCUGUCAGUCUCACCUCGUGUGAUUGAUGGGUUUUAACUUCACUGUUGGCAUGUGGGAAUUUAUAAGUAUAACUUGUUCACCCCUUAAACGAAAAGGUCAGAAUAACUCAAAGUGACUGCUGAGAAACAACUCACUAACUUGCACACCAGACUGGCACUUGAUUUAAUGGAGAGAAGAUUAAUCUAAUUGCAGUUUUAUAUCUUCCAGCAGCUGGCAAAGUGUGCUUCACAUUUCAUAGCAAGGGAAUUAGCUGUUUCUCAGGAUGCCUUAGUAAUAAUGUGUGAGGCUGAUAAGAAGGGAGUACAAAUAGAUGAUGUUGGAUUAUUUUGCAUCACAUUGAGUCUUAUUUGAGCUGCAUUGAGUGUAAUUCUUGUUUAAUGCACAUUCAAAAAAGGAGCCUUUAAUCUUGUUGUGCUAGGAUUGUUCAACAGGCAGAGUUUAAGAAUUUAUCAUACUGAAAUUUUACACAAUCAGACACAUUAUCAUGAAGUGAGGCAGAGGUUGAUAUACAGGUAGGCAGUUGGAUGAGGAGGAGGUUUCUAAAAAACAAAAAAUCAAAAAAAGGCAAGGAAGGUCUAUAACAAUGACUAUAACACGACUAUAACCAUGACUAUGGCUGUGGAAAGAGUGCUGGUAUGUGGACUAUGAAGUGCAAUGGAUUGGCAAUGAGAUGGCUGAAUCUGAGGCCAUGUUCACACGUAGCCAAGUGUUUGCUUAAACAAAUAUACUUUUAUACGUUCUGUCCUGCCAUCCACAUGAAACCGCAGGAUUGCGUCAUUUAAAACAGUGCUUUUGGAAAACUGAAAAAAGUGAAGAUCUAAGUUGGAAAACUCCAGUUUUGUGUUUGCAUGUGGACAUACAGUAGAUAACCAGAGUUUUAAAUUCCCAAAUAUCAUUGUACGAUGUUGAAAUUUUUUGUUGUGGUGUACCCACCAUUGUUGUUAAUUUAUGUUUCAAUAAAUUGUUUAAUCACCAGUGCAUCCUUCUACUUAAAUGUCCUGCUUUUAAGAUAUAUCACUGUAGCAUGAACUUUUUUCAUUUUCCAUAAAUUUCACCUGAAAGCCAAAUAUCCCCAACUUUUUGUGAGUAGUGUAUGUUACACAUGUUUAUCUCACUAUCUGUCCCUCAGAAAGAAAAGAAUAAACUCUGCACCUUCUGUCUUUCGAAGACAAUACCAGUAAAACAGAUCAAUUUGUAUUAACCAAAAGUUUCAUUUGCAAAAGGUCUUCGUUAGCCUUGGACUGUCUAAAGGUCUGCAAUCGUGUUUGUGUGACAGCCUCAGUUCAAUGACAGAGACUAGACUGGGAGCCAUCACUCCAGAUGACAACAGAUCCCAUCUGUCCUCCUGCUCAUCAUUAACCCAGCUGGCUGCGACCUGGCUGCUGUGCUGACAGAGAAAGGAGGGAUCUGGAUGAGGCUUCCUGCUGAAAAACUGUCGAGAACUUGUCCCAGCACAGACGGAGGAUUGCGUUGCAGCCUGGCACAUUUUGUUGCAAGCAGCAGGAGAACGAUUCUUGACAUUUGUGUUGUUUUUUUCUUUUGAUGGUGCUUCAGUGUCACUGCCUGUGGAGACUGUCUUCAGGCUGAAGCUGAUUUAGAUAUUUCUGUCAGAGAUGAUGAGCUUUUCCCUCUCCAGUAUGUGCUGUGAUGCCAGCUGUGCACAGCAAAAUCUUCUAAUAGGUUUUAAUGUCAUAUGCUGUGAUUACUUUUGCACAGUUGCACACUGUACAGUCAUGCAGCGAUUAUCUUUAUUACUCAUUAUCUGCUAAAAAUCUGAAUCUAAUCUGAUCAAGUCCUUUAUGUAGACAUUAAUCUGCCUGCUUAUGCAUAUUAUAAGUCCUUUGCUCGAGUUGUCGUGCCAUUAUUGAAUUAAAAUGAAAAUUUGAUUGACUAAAUACACUGUGAGGAAAUGUCUUAUGAGGAAAUAAGACGGGAUCCUUAAACAAAACAGGCCUAUUGUAGUGAGAAAUCUGGAUUUAAAUGACAGAUGAUCUCCCCAUGGUAAGUGUUCUAUCAAUAGUGUUAUUGUAUGACUGGACAAAGGAAGAAGAAAAAAUUACCACUACACUGCAUCCCAGAAUCCCAGAAGUGUGAUUGACUUGGAGUUACACUUUGUGUUGCGUAUUUGAGUUGGGCGGUAUCCAAAUUUUGAUACCGUCACCACAAGUUACUGUGGUAUAUGGUAUUUUCAUGACUGAUCAUUUUUUUACUACUUAAAGUAGUAUGAUCAGUGAUCUUUAAGUUGUGAUUAUGAAGUUUAUAGCCGAAAUCACGUCACCUAUAUCAUUUUCAAGGACUUUCUUCUGCAGAGCUCCAGUAGCUCAUUAGGAAUUCCUCUAAGUCGUGAGUGGAGACAGCACUGCUCUACACACUCCUCUUCACACUAGUUUGCAGUCCAUCAUUGCCAGUGUAGUAGAAGUGGCAGGUAACAUAGUAGCUAUUCGGCUCUCCACUAAGAUCUAUGGGGACAUGAUGAAAAUUGAUAUCAUAAUUAGCUUUCUCAUGAGCAUUGCAGUCCGCUAACGCACACGCGUCUCCUGCGAUUGUACUCUGUAUUUCUCUGAGCUUGGCUUGCAGGGCUCCGGGGGCGGAGCUUGGAUUUCGUAGGAAAUCUCACUGUAUCUGAUUCUGCCGUUUGAGUCUGCCAGAGAUUCACAGUAAUUUGAAUGCUGAAAUACCCAGAAAUGCAACUUUGCACUUACUUUUCUUAUGAUAUGUCCUGUAGCAUCAGAAAAGUGCCAUAUGAACAUGUAGACAACAAGAAAAACAUGAUUUUCAUCAGAGUGGGUCUUUAAGGCUCAGACAGCAUCACCAAACUGUUGGCUUGUGCCUACACCAUUCAGGAACUGAAUACCAAACACUAAUAAUGAAACAAUAACAACAUAAUGUGCACGAUAUUAACAACUUUUAUUAAGACAGCUUUAAAAGUGCACAACAGUCAAACAAUUAAAUUAACAGAACAACCCAGAAGUUUUUGUGCAGAAUGCACCGCACACACAUCAAUUAAAUUAAAUUACAGCCUGAACAACUUUGCAUAGCAAAAAAAAAAAAAAAAAGCAGCUUAUAGAAAAGUGGAAAAAGGUAAAAGAAACAAAUUAUACACACAUACACAGUGCCAAUGUGAGCUAGGUGGCAAGUGGCAACAGGUUUACUCAAGAUUUUAAGCCAGAAAAAAACAGCAUGUUACCUUUUUCUGGCUUUAACAGGGAACGUUGCGGACUUACAACUUUUCCUACGGUGCUGAAAUCUCGUUCAGACGGCAAACUUAUGGCACAGACACACAGGUUCUUUCUGGCCACUCAUGACAUCAGGGGAAAAUGUCUGGCAGCACAUUUCCACCACAGCAGUGGAUCCUCUUCUGCUUGGAUAACGGGCUUUAAACAGUAGGCUGUUAUUUCAGCCCCGACUCGGUCCUCUAUGGUGCCUUCAGGACUGGCUUGCCCCCUGUGCAGAUAUUUUUGCAGGAGACUUCCCAGUCAUCUCUUUUAGUGGGGGUGCGGAUUGUGAGUCUCCCUCUUCCACUUUGAUGGCAACUGGACCUGCUACUGGUGCUUGCCCCUCCAAGCUCACAAUCUUAGUCUGUAAUUCUGCCUUGGUCUCAGCCAAUGUGUUGCCAUCAGUUUUAUAUGCUCCACGGUAACGAGGGUUGAGGAAAGUGCAUUUUUGUAUCAAUUGGUGCAUUGAAUUGGAUUAAUACUUGGGCAGCUUAUUUAGAAUUCCAAUUUUGAUUGACUUUGAUAGCUGGAGGUCAUUUUCUGAAACAGCCAACACAUUGUCCCUGCAUAACUGAAGUGUGGGGCGGACAGAGGAACUGGUCACAUAAUGUUCUCCUGACAAAAUAUCAGUGAAAUCACCGACUGGUUUCAGUUAGACGUAAACAGCCCUCAGCGGUGCCUGAAUCUCGUCUCUAACUUUAAUAUAUAAAUGUGGGACGGCUGUUUGUGAGAAAUAUUUCUGUCCAGGCAGCUUGUACUGGGCGUCUAGGGCCUUUACCAUGUCCUUAAAAGGACUUUUUUUACACCGUGUGGAAAGACACCAUUUCCUUGGCCAAGUAUUUUGUCACUGCAUCAGUGCAGGUUUUCUAAUGGAUGCUGUUCCUUUUGUACUUAGUUGAUCUCUUGGAGGCUACCCAUUACUGUCAGCUGUGCAUAAGUGGUGGUGGACUUGGUAUCAGCGUUAGGUGUUGAGACUGUUGCACUGUGUGAAUCCGGGGCUAAAUGAAUCCUCGCAGCAGUGAGUGGGUGGUUGUUUCGGAGAUGAGUCCUUAGCUUAAAAGUGUUUCCACCUCUCGCGGUCACCUUUUUAUUUCAUAGUUUACAAAUAGCCUCAUCAGUAUGUACCGGCUCCCCCUCCUAGUUAGCUUAGAACCCGAAAUACUGCGAGACUGCAGAAGUCGUGUCUUUUUCUUUGCCACCAGGUCACUCGGUACGCGACUUGCCAUCUUUCUCCUCCUCUCUCUAUGUCUUUCUCCUCCAUGGUGUCACGUGAUGACGUCACAUUCAUAAACUUAACAAACAAAACUUAACAAAAGACUCCAAAAGUAAACUACUGUGCAAGUAAAACUGAAAAUUUAACUACGUGUAAGUGCUGCUGGACAAAGAAUUAUUUUUAGGCACUGAAUUGAUUAUAUCUUAUAUUAAAUCCUUAUCUCCUAUAUAAGUGCAUUGCAUAUUUUUUUAACGACGUAAUGACGGUAUUGAAACUGAUACUGUUGCUUUUGAAAGACAUCACCAGUAUACCUUAAUACUGUCCAACCCUAUUGAGUAACAUUUAAAGGCUUCAAUAUAAAUCUCAAAGUAUUUCAUAGAUGUCAAAAAAGUCCUUACAAGAGCUUUCAACAGAAGGAUCCAGAGUAUACAAACAUUCAAGUUAGAUCGCUUCACAUGUGUUUUGAAAAUGAGCAGACCUCUGGAUUUGAAUCAGAAACCCUUGUAAUGAUGAAUUCUUGAAAGAGCUGAAAUCCAAGCGAGGUACGGGAAGCUGAGCCAAUGUUUGCAGCAUACCUUUGGGACAGUCUGUGUUUAGAGGAAAAACUAAUGGGGAAUACAGAUUUUUGACAUCAAACAGCUUUUUUCCCUCAUUUAUCCUUGUGCUGAAACAAAGAAUACAUCCUCAAGAAUGAUCAAACAGGAAACUUGAGGCAUAUAAUUAAACUACGUACAUUUGAAAGUUCAUAUCAUGACUCCUUUGGUUUUCCUCAGGCACUUUGAUAUAGAAAAAACAGAUUUUUUAGACAUGUUGCCAAGUCAUACAUGUGUGACACAAAACUGUCUGCCUAAAGCCUCAUACAUACAGAAUCCGUGUUGAGCUUGCUCCGUCCGUGUCACACAGCAAAUAGGUUCCCAUUCUCGAUGCGCUUCUCAGAAGCGCAUCGAGCGCGGCUCUGCCAAAGAUACGCGCUGAGUCUAUUUUCUCUGCUCUAUGCUUCCAACAUGAGCCAGUCUAAGCAAAGAAGAUUGUUCCAGACAGGAUGUCGAGCACGAAACCGAUGUCAACAAGGUAUUUCAAAAUAAAACACCAUAUGCAGACUCCCGACUGUGUAUCAGUACGGGUAGAUGAAAUAAUUCCUGGUUAUGGAUUUAUCAGUAACACAGAACAAUCCAAUGGUCAAUGGUCAAACAUUAUUAAACAUGAGUUAACCUGCAAAAACCGGAACUGUAAAAUCACGUCGCUUUUUCACAUACAGUAGAAGCUCAACGGUCGCUAAAUAAUAUCCAAAUUAGCAGGAAAUAGACCACAGAAAGGCAAAACAACCUUUUGUGAGCAGGUUUUUCUUCUCUAUGCCGCUGCUACGCUCCAAACACGCAUCCUGUAUCCGACAGUCAGCGCUUCUCGAUUGAGCAAAUACUAAACGCGUUCAAUACAGAUCCUGUAUGUUUUGCGCUUAAGUAGCCUAAAACAACAUUUACUGGUUUGCUUAACACAACAGAGGCCUCUGUGCAUACACAUGUGCAUCUUACAAAGAUUCUUCAGAAAAUUACGUGUUCAUGUGUUAAGCAUGUUUUUUAUUUAGCUGUUUAAGCAGGACACAUUCACCAGACUAGAGAUGCAGCUGCACCUCUUUUAUCCAGCCAGAAAACAGUUUGCAUUAAUAUUUAUGACUUUGUCUUUCAUCCCAGACAUUGACGUGAUAUUAACGAUGAGAGUGUUCCCACAGAAACAUGCCUUCAUCUACCAUCAGAGGACAGAGUUUGGAGAUCAGUCAAAAGUUUUUUUUACUCUUUAUUGACUGCUGCAACUCUCUGAAGCACUAAUUAUUUUCCAUUAUAAAUUCAACACUUCUAAAGGACACUCCAGAGAGACUGUUUCCACAAGGUCUUAUGCAGGUGAGUCUGUUUAUUUUGUGGGUAAGUGGGUAGAGAGGGGUUUGGUUAAAUUCAUAGACUUUAGUACAAAGACAGUUAAUAAUCCUCUGUACUAAAAAGUCCACUGAAACUUAAACAGCUGAGAGCUGGAGUGGUACUCCACCAAGGACAGCAUGCUGCCAACCCUCCGGAGAGGAUUCUCCACAGGUGUGCUCUCAGCAGGAGUCCACUCAUGACCUAAAUUACCUCCAGCUGUGCCCCCCCCCCCCCUCCCCCAAUUGGAAUCAGCCAAUCACAAAACAUGAGAGAAAGAGAUAAAGGGAACCAGAACUCAGCAGGCUCACAGAUUUCAA